This 730-nucleotide ribosomal RNA is filed under the name uncultured bacterium. Its description in RNAcentral is "bacterial SSU rRNA". It matches the Rfam family "Bacterial small subunit ribosomal RNA", at positions 771 to 1501 of the family's 1533-position model. The record is from RNAcentral.
AACAGGAUUAGAUACCCUGGUAGUCCACGCCGUAAACGAUGUCGACUUGGAGGUUGUGCCCUUGAGGCGUGGCUUCCGGAGCUAACGCGUUAAGUCGACCGCCUGGGGAGUACGGCCGCAAGGUUAAAACUCAAAUGAAUUGACGGGGGCCCGCACAAGCGGUGGAGCAUGUGGUUUAAUUCGAUGCAACGCGAAGAACCUUACCUACUCUUGACAUCCAGGGAACUUAGCAGAGAUGCCUUAGUGCCUUCGGGAGCCGUGAGACAGGUGCUGCAUGGCUGUCGUCAGCUCGUGUUGUGAAAUGUUGGGUUAAGUCCCGCAACGAGCGCAACCCUUAUCCUUUGUUGCCAGCGGUCCGGCCGGGAACUCAAAGGAGACUGCCAGUGAUAAACUGGAGGAAGGUGGGGAUGACGUCAAGUCAUCAUGGCCCUUACGACCAGGGCUACACACGUGCUACAAUGGCAUAUACAAAGAGAAGCGACCUCGCGAGAGCAAGCGGACCUCAUAAAGUAUGUCGUAGUCCGGAUUGGAGUCUGCAACUCGACUCCAUGAAGUCGGAAUCGCUAGUAAUCGUGGAUCAGAAUGCCACGGUGAAUACGUUCCCGGGCCUUGUACACACCGCCCGUCACACCAUGGGAGUGGGUUGCAAAAGAAGUAGGUAGCUUAACCUUCGGGAGGGCGCUUACCACUUUGUGAUUCAUGACUGGGGUGAAGUCGUAACAAGGUAACC